AUCCAAAUGAAAAGUCCCUAGUAGAACGAAACGAGCGUCCUGGAU
This is a non-coding RNA of Schistosoma haematobium, 45 nucleotides long. The record is from Rfam. NCBI's taxonomy places the organism in Eukaryota, Metazoa, Platyhelminthes, Trematoda, Strigeidida, Schistosomatidae.